RNAcentral lists this ribosomal RNA (501 nucleotides) under uncultured bacterium. RNAcentral describes it as "partial 16S ribosomal RNA". It matches the Rfam family "Bacterial small subunit ribosomal RNA", at positions 30 to 523 of the family's 1533-position model. The record is from RNAcentral.
AUUGAACGCUGGCGGCAUGCCUUACACAUGCAAGUCGAACGGCAGCACAGGCGCUUGCAUCUGGUGGCGAGUGGCGAACGGGUGAGUAACACAUCGGAACGUACCUUAUCGUGGGGGAUAACGCAGCGAAAGCUGUGCUAAUACCACAUACGCCGUGAGCGGGAAAGCGGGGGGUCGCAAGACCUCGCCAGAUUAGAGCGGCCGAUGCCUGAUUGGCUAGUUGGUGGGGUAAAACCCCACCAAGGCGACGAUCAGUAGCUGAUCUGAGAGGACAAUCAGCCACAGUGGGACUGAGACACGACCCAGGCUCCUACGGGAGGCAGCAGUGGUGAAUUUUGGACAAUGGGGGCAACCCUGAUCCAGCAAUGCCGCGUGAUUGAAGAAGGCCUUCGGGUUGUAAAGCUCUUUUGUCAGGGAAGAAACACCGGCUCUAACACAGUCCGGGAAUGACGGUACCUGAAGAAUAAGCACCGGUUAACUACGUGCCAGCCGCCGCCGUAA